GUCACCUGGAAAUCUUGUUAAAUUGAAGAUUCUGAUUCAGUAAGUCUGCAGUGGGGCCGCGAGUCUGCAGUUGUAACAAGUUCCCAGGUGAUGCUAC
Molecule: microRNA precursor, 97 nt
Filed under: Cavia porcellus (domestic guinea pig)
Lineage: Eukaryota; Metazoa; Chordata; Mammalia; Rodentia; Caviidae
Description: mir-544 microRNA precursor family
Rfam family: mir-544 microRNA precursor family
Source: Rfam by way of RNAcentral